RNAcentral lists this ribosomal RNA (411 nucleotides) under Ochlerotatus sagax. RNAcentral's name for it is "eukaryotic LSU rRNA". The stretch from base 1 to 129 matches the Rfam family "5.8S ribosomal RNA", at positions 24 to 154 of the family's 154-position model. Lineage: Eukaryota; Metazoa; Arthropoda; Insecta; Diptera; Culicidae. The record is from RNAcentral.
GCUCGUGGAUCGAUGAAGACCGCAGCUAAAUGCGCGUCAGAAUGUGAACUGCAGGACACAUGAACACCGACAAGUUGAACGCAUAUUGCACAUCGUACAACAGUACGAUGUACACAUUUUUGAGUGCCUAUAUUUAUCUAUUCAACUAUACGUGCGUGCGCGUUUCACUCCGGGUGGACAAGCGCACGGCCCAUAAGCACGUAUGCGUAGUGAUGUUUUCCCGCCUUCGGUGGCGGUAAAACAUUGAAGAUAGUCAGGCGCGUCCGCCCUCCGUGGCAGGACGUGGUUGAUGAAUACAUCCCAUAGACCAGCCCCGUUGGUUAUGUUGUAUUCCAUCUCCAAACACACAAUCGAAUAUGAUUAGUACCAGUAGGCCUCAAAUAAUGUGUGACUACCCCCUAAAUUUAAGCA